RNAcentral lists this ribosomal RNA (497 nucleotides) under uncultured bacterium. Its description in RNAcentral is "partial 16S ribosomal RNA". It matches the Rfam family "Bacterial small subunit ribosomal RNA", at positions 28 to 507 of the family's 1533-position model. The record is from RNAcentral.
GAUGAACGCUGGCGGCGUGCCUAAUACAUGCAAGUCGAGCGAACGGACGAGAAGCUUGCUUCUCUGAUGUUAGCGGCGGACAGGUGAGUAACACGUGGAUAACCUACCUAUAAGACUGGGAUAACUUCGGGAAACCGGAGCUAAUACCGGAUAAUAUUUUGAACCGCAUGGUUCAAAAGUGAAAGACGGUCUUGCUGUCACUUAUAGAUGGAUCCGCGCUGCAUUAGCUAGUUGGUAAGGUAACGGCUUACCAAGACAACGAUGCAUAGCCGACCUGAGAGGGUGAUCGGCCACACUGGAACUGAGACACGGUCCAGACUCCUACGGGAGGCAGCAGUAGGGAAUCUUCCGCAAUGGGCGAAAGCCUGACGGAGCAACGCCGCGUGAGUGAUGAAGGUCUUCGGAUCGUAAAACUCUGUUAUUAGGGAAGAACAUAUGUGUAAGUAACUGUGCACAUCUUGACGGUACCUAAUCAGAAAGCCACGGCUAACUACGUG